UAGAAACUUGUUAGCACGUCUGUAGAGCUCUUCCUUUCGUGUCGCCUUUUGCUUCUGAAGUGCUGCUGCAGUUGACAUUCUGGCAGCCCCUGCUUUGCGAGGCCCAAACCAGUGUGUGACUGAAACCGCUGGGCCACAAGUGAGAGCUGAGCGAAACGCCGCCGGGUUCCUUCCACAGAGACACAUCUCCGCUGUGCCUGUGGUGCUCAGCCCCAGAACCCCGCACAGCACAGAGGCGGCCGUGAGGGAACAGCAGCAUCGCGCCGUGAGGAUCACUGCUUCACAGCACAGAGGUGGCCUCAGAAGGCUGAGAAGUGUCAGAAGUGCAGCUCAUAGAGAGGAGUGCACAGCUGGGUAAGGCCGGCUGGAACAGGCUGGAAAACAGCCUCUUUCUUCCCAAAACACUGCAAAAAAGGAACACGUCCUUCGGGUAUCAGGUUUAUCAGCAACAGGCUCCGCUCCAUGUGCUCGGGAAAGACUAAUGCUGCAAUGCCCGUGCUGCAGAGUGACUUUGCGGGGUGGAAGGACGGAGAGCACAGACAUGCAGUCCUGGGUGUCCCAUGGGAGUAGGCUGCAUUGCCCAGCCCCUGCCUGGGUGCCCUGAGCUAGGAGGAUCUCACCAUCACUGGGACCCUUACCAGAGGCACAGGAGGACACAGAGGACAAUAAGAAUAUUUUGUCUGUGCACCCAGGAGGCAGGGCUGGCUCCUGCACCUUUUCCAGCUGCUUUACUCCAGGUUCCCUCUAGAGAAAUAAAUCCU
Molecule: long non-coding RNA, 761 nt
Filed under: Gallus gallus (chicken)
Lineage: Eukaryota; Metazoa; Chordata; Aves; Galliformes; Phasianidae
Description: long non-coding RNA NONGGAT003572
Source: RNAcentral